Molecule: ribosomal RNA, 503 nt
Filed under: Bactrocera decurtans
Lineage: Eukaryota; Metazoa; Arthropoda; Insecta; Diptera; Tephritidae
Description: partial large subunit ribosomal RNA
Rfam family: Bacterial large subunit ribosomal RNA
Source: RNAcentral
CCUGUUUAACAAAAACAUGUCUUUUUGAGUUAUUUUUAAAGUCUGACCUGCCCACUGAAAUUAUUUAAAUGGCCGCAGUAUUCUAACUGUGCAAAGGUAGCAUAAUCAUUAGUCUUUUAAUUGAAGGCUGGUAUGAACGGUUGGACGAGGUAUAAGCUGUUUCAUGUAAAUUUAUAAUAGAAUUUUAUAUUUUAGUCAAAAAGCUAAAAUUUAAUUAAAAGACGAGAAGACCCUAUAAAUCUUUAUAUUUUAUGUUAUUUAAAUUUUUUAGAUUUGUUUUAUUUUUAUAAUUUGAAAUAUUUUGUUGGGGUGAUAUUAAAAUUUAAUGAACUUUUAAUAAUUUAAAAUCAUUAAUUUAUGAUUUAUUGAUCCAUUAAUAGUGAUUAUAAGAUUAAGUUACUUUAGGGAUAACAGCGUAAUUUUUUUGGAGAGUUCAUAUCGAUAAAAAAGUUUGCGACCUCGAUGUUGGAUUAAGAUAUAUUUUUAGGUGUAGUCGCUUAAAU